RNAcentral lists this ribosomal RNA (459 nucleotides) under uncultured bacterium. Its description in RNAcentral is "partial 16S ribosomal RNA". It matches the Rfam family "Bacterial small subunit ribosomal RNA", at positions 338 to 795 of the family's 1533-position model. The record is from RNAcentral.
CCUACGGGAGGCAGCAGUGAGGAAUAUUGGUCAAUGGGCGCGAGCCUGAACCAGCCAAGUCGCGUGAAGGAAGACUGUCCUAUGGAUUGUAAACCUCUUUUGUCGGGGAGCAAAGGACACCACGUAUGCCGUUUCGUAAGUACCCGAUGAAAAAGCAUCGGCUAACUCCGUGCCAGCAGCCGCGGUAAUACGGAGGAUGCGAGCGUUAUCCGGAUUUAUUGGGUUUAAAGGGUGCGCAGGCGGAAGAUCAAGUCAGUGGUAAAAUUUUGAGGCUCAACCUCUUAGAGCAGUUGAAACUGGUUGUCUUGAGUGAGCGAGAAGUAUGCGGAAUGCGUGGUGUAGCGGUGAAAUGCAUAGAUAUCACGCAGAACUCCGAUUGCGAAGGCAGCAUACUGGCGCUCAACUUACGCUGAUGCACGAAAGUGUGGGUAUCGAACAGGAUUAGAUACCCCGGUAGUC